RNAcentral lists this unclassified non-coding RNA (234 nucleotides) under Hevea brasiliensis (rubber tree). Lineage: Eukaryota; Viridiplantae; Streptophyta; Magnoliopsida; Malpighiales; Euphorbiaceae. The record is from RNAcentral.
AUAGCAUGACAAACAGCCAAUUGGCAAUAAGACAAAGUAGCACCUGAUUUGCAUAUCAGAUCUUUCAUAAGGGCAUGAAAUUGAUGCACAUAUUCAAAUUUCAAAAUUAGUAACUUCACUAUAAAGAGUUAGACUUAAGUAUUUUAACCAAUACCAAUUUUGUAAAAUCACAACAUAUGUAACUGAGUGGCUAGCUCCAUAAGGUAAAAUGAUUUAUACCAGGCACCUUCCAAG